This 91-nucleotide transfer RNA is filed under the name Planosporangium flavigriseum. RNAcentral describes it as "tRNA-Gly". Lineage: Bacteria; Bacillati; Actinomycetota; Actinomycetes; Micromonosporales; Micromonosporaceae. The record is from RNAcentral.
GUGCCCGCUGGGCAGCGCGGUCCAGCUGCCGGCGCCCCGCCGGCUGGUCAGGUGGCCGGACUCGCGCAGCGUCCGGUACGCGGCGGUCACG